RNAcentral lists this ribosomal RNA (250 nucleotides) under uncultured bacterium. RNAcentral's name for it is "partial 16S ribosomal RNA". It matches the Rfam family "Bacterial small subunit ribosomal RNA", at positions 524 to 773 of the family's 1533-position model. The record is from RNAcentral.
UACGAAGGGGGCUAGCGUUGCUCGGAAUUACUGGGCGUAAAGGGAGCGUAGGCGGAUAGUUUAGUCAGAGGUGAAAGCCCAGGGCUCAACCUUGGAAUUGCCUUUGAUACUGGCUAUCUUGAGUAUGGGAGAGGUUAGCGGAACUCCGAGUGUAGAGGUGAAAUUCGUAGAUAUUCGGAAGAACACCAGUGGCGAAGGCGGCUAACUGGCCCAUUACUGACGCUGAGGCUCGAAAGCGUGGGGAGCAAAC